Molecule: ribosomal RNA, 497 nt
Filed under: uncultured bacterium
Lineage: Bacteria
Description: partial 16S ribosomal RNA
Rfam family: Bacterial small subunit ribosomal RNA
Source: RNAcentral
GAUGAACGCUGGCGGCGUGCCUAAUACAUGCAAGUCGAGCGAACAGAUGAGGAUCUUGCUCCUCUGACGUUAGCGGCGGACGGGUGAGUAACACGUGGAUAACCUACCUAUAAGACUGGGAUAACUUCGGGAAACCGGAUCUAAUACCGGAUAAUAUAUUGAACCGCAUGGUUCAAUAGUGAAAGACGGUUUUGCUGUCACUUAUAGAUGGAUCCGCGCCGCAUUAGCUAGUUGGUAAGGUAACGGCUUACCAAGGCAACGAUGCGUAGCCGACCUGAGAGGGUGAUCGGCCACACUGGAACUGAGACACGGUCCAGACUCCUACGGGAGGCAGCAGUAGGGAAUCUUCCGCAAUGGGCGAAAGCCUGACGGAGCAACGCCGCGUGAGUGAUGAAGGUCUUCGGAUCGUAAAACUCUGUUAUUAGGGAAGAACAAAUGUGUAAGUAACUAUGCCCGUCUUGACGGUACCUACUCAGAAAGCCACGGCUAACUACGUG